RNAcentral lists this ribosomal RNA (249 nucleotides) under uncultured Peptoniphilus sp. RNAcentral's name for it is "partial 16S ribosomal RNA". It matches the Rfam family "Bacterial small subunit ribosomal RNA", at positions 524 to 776 of the family's 1533-position model. Lineage: Bacteria; Bacillati; Bacillota; Tissierellia; Tissierellales; Peptoniphilaceae. The record is from RNAcentral.
UACGUAGGGGGCGAGCGUUGUCCGGAAUUACUGGGCGUAAAGGGUUCGCAGGCAUGGCAAGUCCGAUGUAAAAGGCGAAAGCUCAACUUUCGUAAGCAUCGGAAACUGUCAAGCUUGAGUGAAGGAGAGGCAAGUGGAAUUCCUAGUGUAGCGGUGGAAUGCGUAGAUAUUAGGAGGAAUACCGGUGGCGAAGGCGACUUGCUGGACUUCAACUGACGCUGAGGAACGAAAGCGUGGGUAGCAAACAGG